Molecule: ribosomal RNA, 466 nt
Filed under: Selenomonas sp. oral taxon 149
Lineage: Bacteria; Bacillati; Bacillota; Negativicutes; Selenomonadales; Selenomonadaceae
Description: bacterial SSU rRNA
Rfam family: Bacterial small subunit ribosomal RNA
Source: RNAcentral
GACGAACGCUGGCGGCGUGCUUAACACAUGCAAGUCGAACGGAGCGAAUGAAAGCUUGCUUUUAUGAGCUUAGUGGCAAACGGGUGAGUAACACGUAGACAACCUGCCGACAGGAUGGGGACAACAUUCCGAAAGGAAUGCUAAUACCGAAUGAAGUCAGAGGAGGGCAUCCUCCUCUGAUGAAAGAUGGCCUCUUUUUAUGCUAUCACCUGUUGAUGGGUCUGCGUCUGAUUAGCUGGUUGGUGAGGUAACGGCUCACCAAGGCGACGAUCAGUAGCCGGUCUGAGAGGAUGAACGGCCACAUUGGGACUGAGACACGGCCCAGACUCCUACGGGAGGCAGCAGUGGGGAAUCUUCCGCAAUGGGCGCAAGCCUGACGGAGCAACGCCGCGUGAGUGAAGAAGGUCUUCGGAUCGUAAAGCUCUGUUGACGGGGACGAACGUGCGGAGUGCGAAUAGCGCUUUGU